CCUACGGGAGGCAGCAGUGAGGAAUAUUGGUCAAUGGACGAGAGUCUGAACCAGCCAAGUAGCGUGAAGGAUGACUGCCCUAUGGGUUGUAAACUUCUUUUAUAAAGGAAUAAAACGAGGCACGUGUGCCUUUUUGCAUGUACUUUAUGAAUAAGGAUCGGCUAACUCCGUGCCAGCAGCCGCGGUAAUACGGAGGAUCCGAGCGUUAUCCGGAUUUAUUGGGUUUAAAGGGAGCGUAGAUGGGUUGUUAAGUCAGGUGUGAAAGUUUGCGGCUCAACCGUAAAAUUGCAAUUGAUACUGGCAGUCGUGAGUACAGUUGAGGUAGGCGGAAUUCGUGGUGUAGCGGUGAAAUGCUUAGAUAUCACGAAGAACCCCGAUUGCGAAGGCAGCUUACUAAACUGUGACUGACAUUGAUGCUCGAAAGUGUGGGUAUCAAACAGGAUUAGAUACCCUUGUAGUC
Molecule: ribosomal RNA, 460 nt
Filed under: uncultured bacterium
Lineage: Bacteria
Description: partial 16S ribosomal RNA
Rfam family: Bacterial small subunit ribosomal RNA
Source: RNAcentral